Ciona savignyi (Pacific transparent sea squirt) is the source of this 119-nucleotide non-coding RNA. The record is from Rfam. Lineage: Eukaryota; Metazoa; Chordata; Ascidiacea; Phlebobranchia; Cionidae.
GUCAGGAUGGCCGAGUGGUCUAAGGCGCCAGACUCAAGAACCGAGGUUCUUCGCCGACAUGAGGUGUUGAGUAUUCUGGUCUCCGAAUGGAGGCGUGGGAUCGAAUCCCACUUUUGAAA